AAGGACAAAUCUCCAAAAUAGCACAUUUCUAAGUUUAUAUCACAAAAAUAGCAUUUAAAACCUAAAAUGAACAAAAUAGCACAUUUCUAAGUUUAUUCUUUGAAAAUUUUAAUUUUUUUAUUUUUCAAAAUUUGAAAUCUUAUCCCCAAAACCACAUUUCUCAACUCUAAACCCUAAACCCUAAACUCUAAACCCUAAACCCUAAACCCUAAACCUUAAACUCUAAACCCUAAGCCCUAAACUCUAAACCCUAAACCCUAAACCCGAAAUCCUAAACUCUAAAUCAUAAACCCUAAACUUUAAACCCUAAACCCUAAUGUAAUUACUCACUACUCCCACCACCUCCACUAUCUCCACCAUCUCCACCAUCUCCACCAUCCCCAACUUCUUUAAAGAGAAAGAGAGAGAGAAAGAGAGAGAAAAAGAGAGAGAAAGCUCACCUGAGCUCGUCGCCGGAGCAACCGUGUGCCGUGAUCACGUUGAGCUCGUCACCACCGUUCGCUGCAGCUUAGAAUCGCCGGAAACCGCCAUACAGUUAAGCUUAGUUUCGUCCGUUUAGUAAUUCGCCGAUAACUCUCUAACCGUUGCGAAUCUCGUGCAUCCAAGACCAUCAUCGUGUUCCUCUCGUCGAGACGAAGCCGUAGACACCAACCACGCCUCGAACGGAGCCCGGACGAAGCCGCACGCGCCUCCCGAAGAUUCGCCUCGGCGAGCGCAUGAAACACACGCGCCGCCGCCGGACCACCGUUCUCCGCCGCAGCGCCGCCGCCGUACCACCGUUCUCCACCGCCGCGGCCGCCGCCGUAGCUCCGCCGUCGCCGCCGGUGACCGACACCGGCGACUCGCCAACUCGGCCGAGUUGACCCGGUGAGUCAACUCGGUUGACUCGGUCAACCGGUGGUUUGACCGGUUUAAAUCGAUUUCGAUUCAGUUAGGUUAAACCGGUCGGUUAAAAUCAAUUGAAAAUCGGUUAGGAUAAACCGAAUUAAUUAAUUAAAUAAUUAAUUAAUUAAUUAAUUAAUUAAUUAAUUAAAUAAUUGAUUUUUGACCAGCGGGUUGACUUUUCCGUAAAUAUUCGUUUUAAACCGUUCGAAAGGCGUUCUGACUCAAAAUUUCGAUCUGAUUUCUGAUUUGGAGUCCAUUUGAACAGCUGGAGUUCAUAUAUACCACUUCUCUUCAUUGCUAAGGUGAGGGCUACUCCGUUAAAUCCCGAGCUAGUUUAGUACUACCGUUAUGGAAAGUUUAGUUUCGAAACAUGAUCCGUCUCUGUGAAUCGAGUCUGUUUGAGAGUCUUGCUUGUUUAUUAUUAUUAUUGAUUGUUAAACCGGAAAUAGGAUAAUAGAGGAUUCAACGGUUGAUUGAAAUGAUUGAUGUUAAGAAUUGUUAUAUAUAUGUAUAUAUAUGCGAGUCCAUGUUUUGGAGAUUUGCGGGGUGCAGAGACGUUUGCACUGGCUGCCUAUGUUUGAGGAGUUUUGCGGGGUGCAGAGACGUUUGCACUGGCUGCCAUGUUUGUGGAGAUUUGCGGGGGGUACAGAGACGUUUGUACUUACGACGCCUUAGAGAUUUGCGGGGUGCAGUGUGGACUACUGUGCUAGCGACGCCUGUAGAGUUAUAUAUAUUUAUAUCCUUAUGAGGAAAUGUGAUAUGCUAUUAUCGCAUUGGUUGUAUCAUGUCUAGUCCACUAGACAUAUGUGAUUGUUUUGUGUGGUGUAAUAGGCACCGUGAUUGUCUCGUGCUAGAGCUAGGCCUACAUAGUUGUAGUGCUAUGAACUGAGUCAGUGGUUUGCGGUUUAGCAUCCCAUACCUCACUGGGCGAUUCCCCUGUCGCUCACCCCUCCUUAUUUCCCCCUUUCAGGUGAGACCGACGAGCAGGAGUGAUUUUUCGGACCGGUGCUUUUGGGCUUUUACUACUAUUGGGCUUUUGGGCUUCUAUCGUUUUAUCGCUUUUAUCGUUAUCGGGCCUCUAGGCCUUUGGGCUUUUAUCGUUUAUGUUAUUUCGUAUUUCGGACUCUCGGUUUAUGUCGUACUUUAUGUUUCAGAUUUUAUUUUAUAUUAUGGAAUUCAAGUGUGGAUGUUGACUUUCAAAUAUUUAUAUAUGGAUAUUUCAGAUAUUUGUACUUAUCGAAUUAUUUUUACUAUUUCGAAAGUGACGGGUGUCACACCUAAAUCCUAAAUCCCACCCUUUAACUUUAAACCCUAAGUUUGUGACUUUUGAUAAAACAUUAAGUGCUAUUUUUGUGACUUUUGACCUUGAGUGCUAGUUUGGGAACAAAAACUCGAUUUUGUGCUAUUUUUGUCUUUUUCUCAUACAAAAAUAAUACAUAGUAUGAAAAUACAAAACAACAAAUAUUAUAAUGAAAAUAACUAUAAAACAAGGAGAGAUCAAGUGAAGUAAUUGUAUAGACACUUUUCAUUCAACGAUCUAUUAAUAGAUCAACUCUAAUAAUUUUCUUGCGAAUUUUAAAAUCUUUGUUGCAUCAUUGUCACCAAUUUUCUUUGUUUUAUUAAGUUAACCAGAUUAGAGCUAUAGAUAUUAUUUGGUAUAGAAUUUAAUGUACCAAUUCAACCGAGAAUAUUUUUUCUUUUAUUAUGUAUUAUAAAGAUAUUUUUUUUAAUAAAAGGAACAUUUAUUUUUGAUAUUUAUUUCCAUGGUAUACUAUUGAAAGAUUCAUGCAAAUUAAUAAGAGUAUUUUGGAUAAAUAUGUGUAUUUCCAUAACCAAAAUGAUUUAGUUAAUUUUGGUUAGAUCUGAUAUCCAAAAAUAAGUUAUUUUCUUGUUAAUUAUAAUAGCAACGAAAAGGGAAAAUAAUAAUUAAAAUUCGGUUGUAAAUUCAUUUAAUUAAGAUUCGGUUGUAAAUUCAUUUAAAAAAAAAUACUAAUUUCUACAUUUACAUGAUCCAAACUAAUAAAAAUCAUCUAAAUAUACUACCUCUCUUAGUUUAUUCAAAAAAUUUAUUCAAUGUUAAUGUUGGUUUCUUUCACAUAUAAAAAAAGGAUAACAUUGUUUUUAGAUCCCAACUGUAUUAGUGAAUCUAAACCAAUUUAGAUUCGGUUAGUUUCUUUCAUCUAUAUAACAUUUGAAUGAGGUUCAUGUGGUUCAUGAAAAGUAUGUAGUUGUAGACUUACAAAAGCACCUGAGAGAUAGUCUUCUAAUCCUUUAAAAGCAUAUGAUCACCACACUAAGGAACUAACUUGUAUCAACCAAUACCAAGAAAUGAUACUGAUCAUAAGGAAUCCAGCCGGAACUAAAAAAAUGUCUUACAAAAAAAAACUAACUGCAAAUUUUGCAUGAUAAGAACAGGCUCCUGCAAUGAUGCUGCUCCCUCAUUCACAUAACUCCCAAUCAGGAAGAAUCUGACAUGUUGGAGAACGUUUUGCAACUCUAUUAACCUCCUCGAAGAUUUCUUCAUCAGAGACAUAUCGAGGAUAGUUCGUGAGACUGAGAGUGAGUUUCUUCAGGACUGCUGCGUUCUCAAGAAAGUAAGUGGCUACUUCCAUCUCCUGUUCUCCCCUCACAUGGAUUCUCUUAAGCUGAACACACUCGAGAGUCGAUAGGAAGCACCCAGGCACAUUUGCGAGUUGGUAUAAAUCCUCCGUCUCAACUGGAUAAAAAAUCUCCUGGAAAACACACGAAAAGGCUGAGUUUGCAAUUAUAAAUGUAGACCAUAAGCACACACACAGUGUUAGUUGAGAGUUUUUAAUUACCAAGAUUAGGUGUUUCAGAUUGGGGCAACACUCAAGAAAGGCUGGCAAAAAGUGUAGUGAAAUAUACAUAUACCUUCACUGUCUUCUCAGAGAUGAUCAUGUGUCUUACAUUCGUUAUCCCAGAGAGAAAAUAACGGAUUUCAUUUCUCUUUGAAAAGUCCUCCGGAUCAAACUUGUCAGCAAACUUGAUAUUAAGGUCAGCCAUGAACAAAGAAUCCAGGUUCUUCACCGCGAUGCUAUCAAACUGAUCUUCUCCGAGAGUCAUACGCUCUAGCCUUGGAGCAUCGAUCUCAAGUGUGUAUUUCACAAACAAACUGCUGCAAUAUUCUCCGUACCAGAGCGGAACACGAAACCUCUUCAAGCUCCCAGACCUCACACGCAUGAUGAAACUAUCAACCUUACCCUCGAAAUUAGAAUGCAUAUCCCUAACCAAGGUCAGCUCUUCAAGAACAGGACAUCCCGACACGAGUCUCUCCAGACUCGCGUCAUCUCGAAAGAGAGCUUUUACAAGAGUCAUGGACUUGAGACAAGGCAUGUAGACAAGACCAGGAUCCUCAACACCCGAAUACGUGAGCUUUAAGGAAACCAGUGUCUUGCUCGUGUACAGAUUCAGAGGCAUGUACUCAAUAAAAGGAUAGGUUUUGGUGUCACGGUCUAUAUAGUAAAUACAACCCUUAACGUCUAGAUGUUGAGGUCCACGGUGAAUCACUGUGCUGAUCCGAUCCUUGAGCCCCUCUAUCUCGAAGUUACCGCACUUCACCUUGACUUUUAGUAGGCGUAAAUCAGGGUUAAACUCUAGGAGCCUGUCGAAGAAGCUGAGGACCACUCCGUCUUCUCUGUAAGGGAAGUCGUCGCAGUUUAAGUCGAGAGACGGAACACUUAGCCACAGAUUCUUCCAUCUGGUUGAUAAGACGCUGGUCUUCACCGAGUGUUUAGUUGGAAGGUAGGAGAGUAUUUUAUAGUAAGCAAAGGUUCUGGCAACUCGCUGAUCCUGUCGCACCGAGGCAUCACCAGAGACCUUAAGAAGCAUCAACAAACAACAACAACAGCAUGUAAAGGAUAGGUCUUUAUUGAAUCCUAGGUGAUGGGUUUCCCUACUUCAAACUACAAUGCGAUUUAAAACGAAAAACGGAUUCUGGGUAUCACGAGACGAGGCCCUAAGAGCAUCAACAAACAAACAACAGCAUAUAAAAAGGAGACGCCUUUAUCGAAUCGUAGGAGAUGGGUUUCUCUAACUCAGACUACAAUGCGUUUAAAAUAGGGUAUGUAAACGAAACGUAAUCUGGGUUUUUUUGAAGGACUCACCGGAGAGUUGAUUCGCCUGCAGAGUAUAGCGGAGGGUGAAACGAAACUGAUCGUUUAAGUAUUUAUUAGCAUGAUUGAAGCUGUUCCGACUCCGAGCGUUUCAAAAAUAAAAGCUUUUAAUAUAUCUUUCCACGGUAUACGAUCGGAAUAUUCAUUCAAAUUAAUGACUGUCUUUGGAGAAAUAUAUAUAUUUCCGUAAUCAAAGUGACUUUAGUUUUUUUUAGUUUUGAUAUCCAAACAAUCUUCCCAAAAUCAAUUAUUUUCUUUUUAUUUAUUAAAGCAACGAAAAGGGAAACUAAUAUCUAUCAUAAAUUGCAUUUAAUAUUCAGAUUUUAUUGGUAUAGAUUCAAGAGAAUUCCCCAAACAAAAACAAUUUCUACAUUUACAUGAUUAGAGACUAAUAAAAGGGAAACCAUUUAAAUAUAAUAAAUACAGUCAAAUCAUAAUUAUGUUCAAUAGUAACGUUGGUAAAGAGAUUUACUCCCUCCGUUUCAUAUUAGUUGUCGUUGUAAAGAACAUAUUAGUUGUCGUUGUAAAGAAAAAUUUCCGUUUCAAAAUAAGUGUCGUUUUGUGAUUUCAAUGAAAAAUUUAUUGACAAGAUUCUUUUGUUUAUUUUUCUAUUGGUUGAAAUAUGGUUAGGUGUAUAGACAAUGAUGUUUUUAUUUUAAAAAUGUACAAAAUUAUAUGUUUUAUUAAUAUGUGUGCAUGAACCUAAAACGACAAAUAAAAUGAAACGGAUGAAGUAUUUCGUUUGGAUAACAUUGUUUUUAUAUCCAAAUUGUAUUAUUGAAUCUACAAACCCAUUCCAGGGUAUGUGAGUUUCUUUAUUAUAUUGAACUGAUUUGAUUUUAAUAAGGAUUUGCAUGAUUUGUUAAAUUUUAUAUAGUUUUUUUUUUGUUAAAUCACUCUAAAAUCUCAACUAAAAAACUAUAAAAUUCCUAGGUUUUUAAUUCUCGUAUGUAAUUAGAUAUUUCAAUUAGGGUCGAAGUCCGCCGUCCGAGCCCGUCCAUCCAUAAAAAUUACAGGACUUGGGUUUAGUUUUAUAAGCCCAAAAAAUUAGUUUUUUGGGUUUUGGAUAUUUUGGGUCUAAACCCGUUUGGACUAGGGUCGGCCCGAAAACCCAAAAUUUUAUAUUUUAGCUUAAAUAUUAUUGUUAUUGCAAUCCAAACGAUUAUUAGUAUUGACAUAUUAUUUUGAUAUAGUUAUCCACUCUAAUAAAGCAAAUAUAAAAGUUGUUAAUAAUUUAAUUGUUUGAUCAUUACAAGUGUCACAUUUUAAAUUUUGCAAAAGUACUUUUUUCUUUCAUGUACAACACGUUUUUUUUUCAAUAUACAAAGUACGAAACGUUUGACCAUGGUUAUCAUAAAUUUUAUUUUCUUAUAUGUUUAGUUUUAAUUUAUAUUUGAUUAUUUAAAUCUUAUUAAAUUUAAUUUGUUUAUAAUAUGUUUUUAAAGCAUACGAAAAAGGAUUAAAAAAAAAGUUUAAACACAUUUUAUAUUUUAAUACAAUAAAAAUGAAACUGUUUUUUUUUUAAUGAAAUUUUACAUGUAUUAAAACGAUGGAUAUGGUAAUGACAAAUUAUUUUUUGAAAAGCCCAAAAAAAUCCGAAAAGCUCUAUAACCCUAUAAAGACCGGACCGGACUUUGAAUUCUAGGCCCAAAAUAUUUCCGGGCCAGGCCGGACUCAAAUAUUUACGAACUCGGCGGGUUUGGGCCAGGCUGAGCCGGACCAGCCCGAAUUGACACCCUUACCUGUAACAUACCAUACAUGUGAAUCACAGUGAGGGAGAGAACCGAGAACAAAAUAGCUAAAGGGUUUCGAGCGGUAAACCGAGCAAGCAACAUUCCCAAUGACAUGCCAGUCAUAGUUGCCAUAUUGUCUCUUGGCCUCCUUCCUUUCAGUAGAUAAUACCCCCAAAAAAAACUACUAAAAAUUUCAUAUUUAUAGUUUCUAAAUCAUUCACAGUGAAAACUUGCGUCAACCACCAUGGUUUAAGGAAUCCAACCAGAACAAACAAAUGUCUACAAAAAGACUUAUAUUGCAAAUUUUUCAUGAAAAGACAGACUCCUGCAAUGAUAAUGUUCCCUCAUUCACAUAACUCCCAAUCAGGAAGAAUUUGGCAUGCUGGAGAACGUUUUGCAACUUUAUUAACCUCCUCGAAGAUUUCUUCAUCCGAGACAUAACGAGGAUAGUUCGUGAGACUGAGAGUGAGUUUCUUCAGGACAGCAGCGUUCUCAAGAAAGUAGGUGGCUACUUUCAUCUCCUCUUCCUCCCACUCAUGGAUUCUUUUAAGCUGAACACACUCGAGAGUCGAUAAGAAGCACCCAGGCACAUUUGUGAGUUCAAAUGCAUCCUCCAUCUCCCUUGAAUAAUAAACCUCCUGGAAACACACACAAAAGGCUGAGUUUGAAAUUAUAAAUGUAGACAAAACCACCCACGAGUUUUUUUUUUGUACCAAGAUUAGGUGUUUCAGAUUUGGGCAACACUCAAGAAAGGCUGGCAAAAACUGCAGUAACUUGUAAGGGAACACGGCUUCUAAACGUGACAAGUAAUUGAAUUUGGGAAUCAGCCCUACGUUGGAGUAAAGCUCAAGGGCCUGCAACACCAAGAAAUAUACAUAAGUGGGGGAGGUUUUCAAUCAAAGUCCAUGUAUUGUUGUAUGUAUAUAAAAAUACACAUACCUGGACUGUUUUCUCAGAGAUGUUCAUGUGCUUUACACUCGAUAUCCCAGAGAGAAAGUAACGGAUUUCAUUUCUCUUUGAUAAGUCCCCCGGAUCAACGAACUCGCCAAACUUGACAGCGAACUUGAUACCAAGAUCAACCAUGAACAAAGAAGUCAGGUUCUUUACCAUGACGCUAUCAUAAUGAUCUUCUCCGAGAGUCAUAUGCUCUAGCAUUGGAGCAUCGAUCUCAAGCGUGCAUUUCACAGACGACCUGCAACGCUUACCGUGCCAGAGCGGAACACGAAACCUCUUCAAGCUCCCAGACCUCACACGCAUAAUCUUUUCAUCCGUACCCACAAGAAUAGGAUCCAUAUUCCUUACCAAUGUAAGUUCCUCAAGAACAGGACACCCUGACACGAGCUUCUCCAGAUCCGCAGCGUAAUGAAAGUGAACUUUCACAAGUAUCAUGGACUUGAGACAAGGCAUCCAAACGAAACCAGGAUCCUCGAGACCAGAAAACGUGAGCUUCAAGGAAACCAAAGUCCUGCUCGUGUAGAGAUUCAGAGGUAUGUAGUCGAUAAAAGGAUAUAAAAAUGCGUCGUCGUGAUCUAUGUACUCGGUAAAGCUCUCGAAGUCUAGAUGUUGAGGUCCGCGGUGAAUCACUGUGCUGAUCCGAUCCCUGAGCCCGCCUAUGUCCUCCACGUUGCCGCACUUCACCUUAAAUUUUAGCAGGCGUGAACCAGGUUCAAACUCGAGAAGCCUGUCAAGGAAACCGAGGACCGCUUCUUCUUCCUCUUCUUCUUCUCUAUAAGGGAAGUCUUCACAGUUUAAGUCAAGAGCUGGAACAUUCAGCCACAGAUUCUUCCAUCUAGUCGAUAAGACGCUUGUCUUCACCGAGUGUUUAGUCGGAAGGUACGAGAGUAUAUGAGUUAGCAAAGACUCCGGCAAUGCGCUGAGCCUAUCGCGCCCAGACAUCACGAGACCUAACCCUAAUAGCAUCAACAAACAAACAACAAAGGAGAUGUCUUUACCGAAUACUAAGCGAUGGGUUUCUCUAGUUUGACAUUACAAUGCGAUUAAAAACGAAAACGGAAUCUGGGUUUUUGAAGAACUCACCGGAGAGUUGAUUAGCAGGAGGAUUAAUGUAGCGGCGAGAAUGAGAGAGAAAGGUGGGAACCUCUUUUUUUUUGUGGUGAUACGAAACCGAUCGUCUGUAUUUAUACUUUUGAAGCGGUUCGGAUUCCCUGAGCGUUUCAAAAAUAAAUGCUGUUAAUUACUUUUUUUAUUUAAUAUAAUUCGUUUUAAAAUUGUGUCGCAUACAUUAAGAAAUCAUUAAUUUUUUAUAUUUUCUAAAUAAAAACAUCAUUAAUUUUUUACUUAACCACAAAUCAAUCAAUAAUAAAAUAGAAGUUAUAUUAUAAUUGGUCAUAUAACAUUAAGUGUUAAUAAAUUUUACAUAGAAAACCGAAAACGUCAUAUAAUUUGGAACAUAAAAAUUUUUCUAAAAUGACUUAUAUUAAAAAACGGAGGGAGAAAAAUGUACCAUAAAGAUCUUUUCUUAUGAAUUCAGCAAAUCGUUUAGUUUUGGGAAAAUGCAUAUUUCCAUUGUCAAAUUGAUUUCUUUUGUGAGAUUUGAUAUCCAAACAAUCUUCCAAAAUUAAUUAUUUUUGUUAAUUAUAAAAGCAAAAAAUAGUAACUGAGAUUCGGUUGAUAAAUUGCGUUUGUUAUGCAGAUUUUAUUGGUAAAGAAUUAAGAGAAGUCCAAACCGCUAUUUUCUACAUUCAACAUGAUUAAUGGAGUAUUUGAAUAUAUUCUAAAUAUUGCAAAAUCAAAAUAUGAAUAAAUGCUUAGAAACGUGGUAUAUAUGUGUUUUAUUACUUAGUUAAGAAUAUUAUUUUUUUGUUUAAACGUAUUAUUCUAAAUCAAGACAAUCCUAAAUUAAGAAAUUAUAUUGCCUACUUAGUUUCUUGAAUAUAUGUAUAUAACAUUUGAAUGAGGUCCAUUUGGUUCAUGAAAAGUAUGUAGUUGGAUACUCUACUAAUCCUUUUUAAAAGCAUACGAUCCGAACUGGAACUGGUAUCACCAACACUAAGGAACUAACAUGUUUUUGUGUCUUCACUAAAGCAAAAACUCCCAUCUCACAAAGGCAUAAAAGCUCAGUCGGUCUUGGCACCUGAAGUGUGAGGUAUCCAAUUUGCUCUCCAUGUAAUGGAAGGACAAAGAAGACGCUCUGUUUUCCAACCUCCUGAUCUCAGCUAACAUAAACAAGGAAACAAAAGAAAAAAAAGAGAGUGAAAAUCAAAAGCUAAUACAGUCGAUUUCAUGUUGUAGAUAAUAAUGAUCUAAGUUACCUUGUUGAGGAACUCGUCAUAAUGUUUAUCUAUCCAAGCUUCUCCUUCUGAAUAAAAAGAUGUGCUCUUUUCCAUGAGAUUUGCCAUAGCAAUGGCGUGAAUAUACGACUUCAACACAUCUCCAGCUGUUGAGUCUUUGUGCAAGAUCACACUUACAUUUCCCUCUCUAUGUGCCAAUAAGUACUUAGCUGUAGGAGUUUACAAUACGGCAAAACGUUAGCAAAUAUGAAACAGAGAAACAUAAUGGAAGAAGAAAUCAAAUCAAACCAUUCUUGUGAGAAGACGCUCCAGCACCAUUUAGGAGUUGCAUUCUGCACAUAAAAUUGUCAAACCUCGCAAGGAUUAUUUCCCUUAAGGCUGUGAAAAAUCUUAGUUUCUUAUAAACUAGGACUUGUAGUGGUUAAAGUAUAGAACUUACAUAUCUGGACGAGGGAGAGAAGAAACUCUUACACCUACGUGCACUCUCUUGUGCAAUGCGUUUGAAUCAGUUGACUUCGAAUAAGUGGCCCACAUGGGCAAUACACCCUCCAUUGAAGAAACCAGUUCCGGCGAGAGAACUGGCGACAUGUUUGGUUAAAGAAAAUUCCUAAUGCAUAUGAUACAAUGAUAAAAAAGGAAGACAUUGAAACGUUCUGAGAAUUACCUUGGCCAGUUUGCAUGAAAUGUGCUAGAAGAAUCGAACUCCUCUCGAAGUUCAAUGAAUUCAAUACAAGGCACCGGACAGCUCUAUAGUUUGCUAAAUACGUAAGAAAAUAAAACCAGUUAAUGAAAAGAAGUAGAAAAAUACUGAUUUUGAUCUAGGAUUUUAAAUAACAUGUGUAACUUACCAUACAUAUGAAACACAGUGAGGGAGAGAAAAGAUAACCAAAUAGCUAGAGGGUUUCCAGAGGUAAACCGAGCAAGCAACAUUCCCAAUGACAUACCCAUCAUAGUUGCCAUAGUCUCUUGGCUUCCUUCCUUUCAAUAGAUAAUACCCCCAAAAAAAAACUACUAAAAAAUUCACAUUUAUAGUUUCUGAAUCAUUUAGGAGUGAAAAGAAGUUAAGAGAGUACUUUAGCAGAUAUAUCCGCAGCAUUUUCUUGGAGAGCAAAGUGCUGAGUUAGAGCUGCUCUGGUUGCUCCACUUGCAACACCGGCUAAAUUCAAGCAGUGGAGAUCAACAAUAUGUAUAUCAGCUAAAGUGGAAGUCUUAACUUCAAUGGUUGACGCAAGUAAUGAAACUUACUAAAUGAUCUUGAAAGACUCCCUAAGCAAACCACGAUGAUAAAGGCAGAUGGAAAUAGAGGAGAGAGAAGGUCCAUCAGCAUUCCUGAAAUAAAUGCAACAAAGCUUGUAGUCAUUCAAAGUCUCAGAGAACCAAAUACAGGGGAAAUAUAUUCAAUUGUGAGUGUGGCCAACUAACUGUUACUAGCGUGAUGAAUGAAAAAAACAUAACAAAAGAACAUACCGAUAUCGUUCAUAAGGUCCGCAACUAGACGCCACAUUUUUGCAUUACUAUCCAGGUUGGAACCCUGACGAACCGAAAAAAAAACCAGAGAGUUCCCAUUUUGUAUUAGAGACUGACAUUGAUGCUCAGAAAAUAAAGGGAGACAAUUGCUGAUGACAAAUCAUCAACGUUCCCACACAACAUCAAAACCAACGGAGCCAUGCUAGAUUUUGAAGAGGAAGAGAACUUGUAAGGUAUAUGAUUGGGGAGAAUCUAAGCACCUGAUAAAAAGUGAACAAAAUGCCUCCAAGCAUCCCAGUGAAAUCCCUAAGAAACCACUGCAUAGUACAAACAAGAGAUAAUAAUCACUCUAAUAAAAUGACAAUUUGGCAGUGUUUGAGAGAGCCAAUCAGUCCCAAAGCAGGAGAAUAUGUUCAGCAAUUAGAAAACUCACCUGAAAGGUAGCACCUAUAACCGUUGCGGAUUUCUCACCAACCCCAAUUGCACUCAAAAGAGCCUGUAGAAAUAGUCCAAAUCAGCAAACGCUGCAGCAGGACAAAAACCAAGAACUCAAAAAGCUCAAAAACUUGAUCUCACCUGAGUUGAAAGCAUCAUCUUUAUAUACGUUGAGAGGCCCUGCAGGGAAAAGAAAAAAAAAAACAAACAAACCCCCAAUUGUUAGAGUAGCCAGCCAUAAGGCACACAGGUAUGAUGAUCACACAUACCUGCAACGUGUCCCAUAGUUGAAACCCUACAUAAUCUGGAGUUACACUAUCAGGGAAGCCCUGCAUUAUUGAACAAAGUAAAACUCAGUUGUCUCAAUGAUCCUCUAUAGAAACAUAAUCAUAAUUCGAGAAGAGGCUCACUUGCCUCGGGUACAAAAGCUUGAAGAACUCGUCUCCAUACAUGGUUGAUUCGAUUAGCAGACCUGUUAAUCACACACCCAUGAGUUAAAAUUCUCAACUUGCAACGAGAUUUUGAAUUGGAAUAGAAAACAGAGGGGGAGAAAGGGAGAGCCUUUGGAUGGAGAGGGAAGAGGAGGCAGUGAUGCUUGCUGUUCUGAAUAGCUUAGUAGAAGAAGAGCCGUUCCAUUCUUCGAGUGUGAUCGAUCCACAAACAGAGUGUUCUUCUUCUCCUUCUCCUUCCCCUCCCAUGGCCAAUCUUGGGAAAGAAAGUGAGUGUGAAUGUUUUGUUUAGAUAUUGGGCCUUUGAGUUGGGUUUCAAUAGCGACCGAAGAGAUGUUUAGACUUUGUGUUUUAAAAGCAAACGAAAGUCAUACAAAAACAGUGCGAGAGUCAUAUUUAAAUAUUCUUUUUCUUCAUUAACAUUUAAAUACUCAUAUCAACUCUUCGCUUACUCUUCUUUGAUGAGGGAAUCUCAAGACUGGUCAUUUCUAAACGACUCCUCAGGUUGCUCCAAACUUGUAAAUCUUUCAUCCACUUUUGAAUUUUGAUGAUUGUGGAUUUAAUAACAAGUAUUCAACUUCUGCUCACAUGUUGUUUGUUUCAGGCUCUUCUUUCUCUUAAAAAAAAUAAGUCAUGAGGGAGCAACAAUAUUUUGUAAUCCUGGUGAUUGUUGUAGGAGCUUUUCAAGAAGUGAAUUGUCAUAUAGAAAAACCUUUAUCAGGAAUUGCUAUCCAUAAAACGACGUUCCAUCUCAAUGAAAAAGCUCAUGUCAAUGCAUCUCCAGCCGUUCUUGGAUCUAAUGUAAUAAUAGCCAUUCUCUCUUCAUCAUGUCAAAUAUAUUAUUUGAUAAAAAUUGCCAAACUUCAUUGAAUUUUUUAUUUGGCAGGGUCAACAUAGUGAACAUGUGUUGGUGGAAUUUAGUUCUCCAUACCCAUCAGAUGAUGACUGGAUUGGAGUGUUUUCAGCUGCAGAUUUCAUGUAGGUUAUUAUUAAACACAUUCUUUCCCAACAAGAAUUAGUUUUGAGGUUGAAAUAAUAACUUGUGUUUUUUCUUACAGGUCUUCUUCUUGUCCAGGAGAUAACAAGAAAAGUGUGAACCGACCUCGAGUGUGUUCAGUUCCUAUCAAGGUUUUUUCUCAUAACAUGAUUCACCAUUGUGACUGCUAGCUUCUCUACUAUACAACAAGUCUUUUAGCUCAUUACUACUCUUCUUCUUCUCUUUUUACAGUUCCAAUAUGCAAACAUUAGUAAUCCAAGAUACAACAGUACUGGAGGCGGUUCUAUGAAGCUUCAACUGAUCAACCAGAGAUCAGAUUUUUCCUUCGCUCUCUUUUCUGGCGGUUUGUUGAAUGUAUUACUCAUUCACCUAUAACAUUCUCUAGCUUUACUACAGGUUUUCUAGCUAAAACCUUUUCUUGGUUUUGAUUUUUCCCCUUAGCCAAAGCUUGUGGCAAUCUCAAACAAAGUAGCCUUUGAGAACCCAAACGCACCAGUUUACCCUCGCUUGGCGCUAGGCAAAGAAUGGAACGAAGUAAGAUCCUGUAAACCCCCUCUUCACUUGAAAUGAGUUUUCUCAAACGUCUCUCAUUUUAACAGAUGACAGUGACAUGGACUAGUGGUUAUGGACCCCAUGUAGCAGAACCUGUAGUCGAGUGGGGAAUUAAAGGAGGAAAAAGUAAACUCUCACACGCUAGGACACUGACCUACGGGCCUAACGACUUGUGUGGUCCUCCUGCAAGGACUAUUGGAUGGCGUGAUCCUGGAUACAUACACACAUCUUUCCUCAAAGAGUUGUGGCCGAGCUCCAAGUAUACAUACAAAGUUGGGCAUAGAUUGUCCAAUGCUGGUGCAUUCAUAUGGAGUAAAGAGUAUCACUUCAAAUCUUCUCCAUUUCCAGGCCAAGACUCACUCCAACAUGUUGUGAUCUUUGGUGACAUGGGAAAGGUUUGGUCUAAAAAUCAUAUCAUAUUUUUGUUUUUUCUUUAAUCUGUUGUAGUCUCAAAGACUGUAUUCAUUAUAGGCCGAGGUUGAUGGGUCAAACGACUACAGCAGUACCCAACGCCCUUCUUUAAACACCACUAGGCAACUCAUUAAAGAUCUAAACAAGACAGAUGCUGUUUUCCACAUUGGAGAUAUCUGUUAUGCAAGUGGAUAUCUUUCCCAGUGGGACCAAUUCACAGCUCAGAUUGAGCCCAUUGCUUCCACUGUUCCAUACAUGAUUGCAAGGUUUUUUUUUUGCCUUUCUUUUUUCUUGUUUUGAUAUAUAUUUUUCUUGUUUACCUGAGUGUCUGAAAGUUAACUAUGUGCAGCGGGAACCAUGAGCGCGACUGGCCCCACUCGGGAUCGUUUUACCAUGGUGUAGAUUCUGGAGGAGAAUGUGGUGUACCAGCUGAGACAAUGUUCUAUGUUCCUAAUCAAAACAGAGAUAAGUUAUGGUACUCUAGUGACUACGGAAUGUUUAGGUUCUGCGUGGCUGACACGGAGCAGGACUGGAGUAAAGGAACAGAUCAAUACAAGUUCAUUGAGCACUGCUUAGCAUCAGUGGACAGAAAAAAACAGCCGUGGCUUAUAUUCUUGGCUCACCGCGUGCUCGGUUAUUCCUCUACAUCAUUCUAUGCGGAAACAGGCUAUUUCGCUGAACGAUUGGGGAGAGUUCAUCUUGAAAAGCUCUGGAAGAAGUACAAAGUGGACAUUGCAGUCUAUGGCCAUGCACAUAACUACGAGAGAACAUGCCCGGUUUAUCAGGUAAAUUAAAUAUAAUGUCUUAGCUCAACUAAAAAAAAGUAUUCUGAAAUUUCUAAUGAUUGGAUCGUUCUAAUGCUUUCUUUUUAAUGCUGUGUGUAGAGUUUAUGCACGAAUUAUGAGAAAGUAACUACAAGAGUCCAAUGGAUGGGACAAUCCACGUAGUUGCUGGAGGUGGAGGAGCUCAUCUUGCUGAAUUCUCCAGGCAGCAACCGAAUUGGAGUCUGUUCAGAGAUUACGACCAUGGAUACGUUAAACUUACAGCGAUUGAUCACUCUAGUCUUUUGUUCGAAUACAAGAAGAGCAGCGACGGACGAGUCCAUGAUUCAUUUAAGAUAUCAAGAGGUUACAGAGAUGAUUCGGCUUGUGGUGUUGAUAGUUGCCCUGCAACAACACAUGCUACAUAAAAAAAGAAGAUCUUUCCGCGGUCAAACUAGUCACUGUUCCAUUGUUAAACUCUUCGUAGUGAUAACACGUCAAUCAUAGUUACUAUACUAUAGUAUUCAAGCAAGAAUCAUAAAUAUCAUUUGAUGAUUCUUUGAUGUAUUACACCUAAAAAUACAAGAGAAUCUUGAUAUUCAACAAGAUUGAGAUUUGGCAUUUCAUUCUUAAAGCCAAACAUGCAGAAGAUAUCCAAAAGAUAUUUUUAUAAAAACAACGACACGUUCUAGUUUUUUUACCAGAGUCUUCUAGUCAAAACGUUGAAGGAGAAGUGUUGACAACGAUAUGCCGAAGGGGACGAUCAACAUCUCCACCGCCACCGUGUUUAACAAACUCUGCUGGUGUCAAGAAACUGCCAUGGCAAAUGCACAUGAUCCGAACUUCCUCUCCCACUUUCCCGUACUUGUAUAGAAUGCCGUCGACACGUCUUCCGUUUGGACCGUCUCCUUUAGUGAACACACACGGCAUGUCAAACAAACCUGUAGACGUAGGAACCCUCCCUUUGCCUUUCCCAUCAUCCUCUCCUUUCUCCGUUCCGUGGAUUUCGCUGUUAUUAGAUGAACAUCUUCUCAUGAUCUUUGGACUCAUGUCCUCACCACAACUAUUUGAUGAACCUACAAGACCACCAACAUAACCUUUGUCAAUUUCUAUGAUAGCACUAUUCUAUAUAGUCUAUAAGACUAAAACAAUGUUGCUAACAUACAUACCUUGUUGAUGAUUCUUGUUGUCAAGCUCGGACAAGCUAGAAGAGCUACCUCCUCCUACUCUUCCACCAUCGGAAUCAACGCAAGAAACCAAAUGUCUCUCAAACGACGACGUUUGCUCGUCUCCAGCUCUGAAACUCUGUUUCUCGCAUCUCCUCACCGACUGCAUCUCUUUCCUUUUCCUCCACCCCUCCUCUAUCUCCGCCGGCAACGACGUCGUUCUCGCUAAACCCACCGCGUAACUAUUCUCCGGCUCGGCCACAAACGGCGCAGCGCCCAAAACAGAAGAAGAUCGUUUAAGCUUCCUCGGAGUCUUGUCUACUCCGAAUCGACCUCCUAAAGAGAGACCGAGAUUCAGCUCAACCGCUGUCUCGUCUUCUUCGCAGUCCGAUGUUUCACCGCCGUUUUCAGACGGAUCUGUCGGGUGUUUAUUUAUGUCCAGAGAAAGGUUUGUCGUUAACGUCAUGUCUCUGUUGUUGUUCCAUGCCCUUUGUUGUUGUCUACUUGCUUCUUCCCCCAUUGAUUACUAAACAACUGAUGAUGAUGAAAGACAAAAAGAAUCAUACUUGAACAUAUUAUAGAACCAAUUCAUACGGAUCAAAGUUAGUUUUAUGGAACGAGAAAACUCGUCGGGGUUUACCAGAGAAGGUAAGGUGGUGGUGAAGAAGACGAGAGAUGCUUAAACUGAAGUUGACCUGAAGGAGAAAACGCUUUUUUUUUAGAUAAUUAAGAGAUUAAAAAAAUGAAAAGAGAGAUGGAGGAAGAAGAGAAAGAGAGAGAGAGAGACAGAAGAGCCUCUUGAGUGCGAAGAGGCAAGUGGCCGGCGAGAGAGCUGCCUGAACGACACGUGGCCGGUUGAUUACAUCGGCGUUGCAUAAUGCUGCUUGAGGAAACGUGUCGUAAAGCGGCUGAGUUAAUCACAGAUACGACACGUGUCUCCCAAGUAAAAAGAUGCGUUUACUCUUUUGUUCAAAAAAAAAACAUAAAAUCGAAUUCUGAUUAAUCUAAGCGACUCGACAACGUCACUCACGUGGCUCGGACCGUGGAACCCACUAGGGAAGCAAGUUGCUUGUGGAAAAAGUGAAGGAAGGAGAAUAUAACACUUCAUUUUGUAAAAGAAAAAAGUUAUUAUUUCCUUUAAUUAUUACUACAUAAAGGCAAAUUCAAAUAAAUUAAAAGACUAACAUAUCAUAAAGUAUUAAGGUAACGUUUUUUGGUAUUAUCAACAUAACAAGCUGAAAUUUUAGUGAGAAAAGUGUAAGUUAAUUGAUUGAGUGAAAGUUAGGUUGGAGAAUGGAAUCUAUAAAUUGAAAAGAAGAUUUUUAGAAUCUUUGGUGGGUCAUUUUGUUUAGUCAAGUGGGGGACCCCAAAAUACCACGUGUCAUUCACCUGUUGGUUUUUAUUACGAGGAAACUAUAAUAAUAGAGCAGUGAAGAUUGAAGAAGACCCUCCCUCCCUAUCCACUUUCCCAUCUCCAAGAAGCCCAUAAGGUAUAAGGGCUUGCCCAUGUUGCCUUUUCUACUGGCACAUGCAUCAAACCAAGCUCACAAGGAAUUUUCUGGUUGGGAUAUUUUUGUUUGUUAACCGGUCCAAAUAAAAAAGCUUACCAGAUCAUACUCAUCAAUAAUUUGUGAAGCGAUUUUUCGCAACAAAACUUUAGAAACCGAUGAUAUCUUAAUGAAUUCGUAUAUAUAAUAAUAUUAGAUUUUUAAACAAUUAGAUAAUUUUACAUUGUGUUGUUAUAUGAAAAUAAUAUUUUCUAUUAAAAAUUUAAGAUAUUAAAAAUUUUAUAAUUAAUUUUUAAUUAAGAAAAAACAUUUGUAUAAAGCUAUUUUCUAAAAUAUUUUUAAUAUGGGAGCAUAUAUAAUUUAAUUAAGAACUUUAUUAUAUAUAAAUAAUUUGAUGUUUGAUUUAAACUUUUUAAGAACAUAAAAUGCUAGUUUUUUAAUUAAUAAAACAUAAACUAAUAAAUACUUGGAGAAAAUUAUGUGCAUAUGUGUGGACAGAUGAGUAUUUGUAAAAAAAAUUAUGCUUGUAUAUUAAAAAAAAAAAUUAAGUGCGGACAAAAUAUCUGGUAUUAAAAAAAUUAUCAAAAUCUCAAAUGAAAGGAGUGUCAACAAAACUUCUAAUCUCUACCUCUCUUCUCUUCCUAUAAAAACUUUCAGAUUCUCAAUUUCAGAUGAAUAAAGCAACAACAACAACAGGCAUGUUCCUUUGCUGACCCAGGUGAUUCAUCUGGGUGAAGAUGCAAAUUGAUGUUCGUUUAGUGCAUUAUAAUGUUACAUCCAGAUGGAUCACCCAGCUGAAUUUUUAAAACUCAUCUCAAAUUCUCACCCAAAUGAAGGUGAGUCUUGACGAUGCAUCUGGAUGCAGAUGCAUCUAGUUCAGUCCAAAAUGAUAAAUGACAAAAAUGACCUUUUUAAAAUCAAAAUAUUAUUUUCAAACCGUAAAUUCUAUUUUUUUGCAUAUACAUUUUUCCGUUAUAACCAAAAAAUACAUUUUCUCGCAAAAACAGAAAAACACAUUUUCCCGCCAAAACCGCAAGAUGCAUUUUUCCGCAAAAAAUAUAAAACACACAUUUUCAUUAAAACACAUUUUUCGGCUAAACCAGUAAAACCACACUUUUCGACCAAAACCCAAAAAAACGCAUAUUCCCGCCAAAACUCCAAAAGCAUUUUCCGGCCAAAACCGCAAAAAAAACAUUUUUCCGCCAAAACCGAAAGCAACGCAUUUUCUCGUCAAAACAAAAAAAAAACAUUUUCUCGCCAAAACCGGAAAACACAAUUUUCCCGCCAAAACCAGAAAACAGAAUUUUCCCGCCAAAACUGGAAAACUGAAUUUUCCCGCCAAAACCAGAAAACAGAAUUUUUCCACCAAAACCGAAAAAACGCAUUUUCCCGCCAAAACCGAAAAAACACAAUUUUCCUGCUAAAACCGAAAACACAUUUUUUCCGCCAAACCGGAAAACAAAAUUUUCCCGCCAAAACUAGAAAAUGUAAUUUUCCCGCCAGAACCAGAAAACAUAAUUUUCCCGCCAAAACCGGAAAAAUGUAUUUUUUCCACCAAAACCGGAAAAACGUAUUUCCCGCUAAAAUUGGAAAACAUAUUUUCCCGUUAAAACCGGAAAAACGCAUUUUCCCGCCAAAACCGGAAAAACGCAUUUUCCCGCCAAAACCGGAAAAUUUUAUUUUUCCGCCAAAACCGGAAAAAAUGUAUUUUCCCGCCAAAACCGGAAAAAUAUAUUUUACCGCCAAAACCGGAAAAUGAAAUUUUCCCGCCAAAACCAGAAAACGCAUUUUCCGGCCUAAAGCUUAUUUUUCCGCCAAAACCGGAAAACGCAUUUUCCCGCCAAAAUCGGAAAACGCAUUUUCCCGCCAAAACCGGAAAAGCGCAUUUCCCGCCAAAUCGCGAAAAAUAACUUUUCCCGCAAAAAUCGUGAAAAAAACUUUUCCCGUCAAAAACACUUUUCUCGCCAAAACUUCAAAACAUACUGUUUCCGUCCAAACCGCAAAAACGUAUUUUUCCGCCAAACCCAUAAAAAUGCACUUUUUUCGCGAAAAACACAUAUUUCCUCAAAAACCAAAAAAAUAUUUUCGGCCAAAACCGUAAAAAUGCUAUUUUUCCGCCGAAACGUAAAAAAAUAUAUUUUAGUCAUUUUAUUAACAAAUCCACCUGGAUGCAGAUGGAAGUUACAAAAUGAAAAGCAAACGAACAUAGUUGCAUUCAGAUGAUUCAUCUGGAUGCAUGGACGAAAUGAAGAAACGAACAACACCCAAAUGGAACAUCUAGAUAAGACAUCUAGGUGGACCAUCUGGAUGCAUCUUCCAGAUGUACAAACGAACAGGGCCAACAUAGUUUUAAAACUCUCUUUAGCCUCUGGCUCGGCUAGAUUUCACCAAACCAUUCUGAUAAGCCCUGCUGCCAUCACCAUUAUUAUUGGCCUCAGCAUUGCGUGAUUCUCCUCUUCUCUCAUAUCCAUUUCCUCCAUGGCCUCGUCCUCCUCCGUUGAAACCGUUGCCCCUAGGCCUGAACCCGUCGUUUCUGUAACCGUUCUCGCUCCUAUAACCUCCGUUUCUCGUUGAAGAUCUGCCAUUCUCGUUGUUGCCUGCAGAAGAUUCAAGUCAUAAAGCUGGAAACAAUACUCAAAAAAGAACUAAACUUUGUUUUGUUUAACUAAUACUAACCUCGUUUCUCUUCUAUGGAAACUCUUCUGUUUCCGAUUCUAAUGGCUGACUCCUUGUGAGCCUAGAGUUGUGUGAUGCAACACAUCAGAAGAAAGCAUUCCAGUUUACAAUCAAAAGUUGAAUUCAUAGAUGUUUAAACAUACCUGGAGGACCAGUUUCACAGCUUCAGCAGACUCGAAUGUCACAAACCCGAAGCAGUUUCGCUUCAGCUGAUUAAAAAAAAAGAUCAAAACCUUUUUGAGUUUCUAGACGAAAUGUCCUUUUUCAUAAAAAAAAAAAAAAAAAAAAAAACUCACUCUGUAACUUCUAACUUGGAUAGCAUCAUUCUUAAUGGCACCAAACCCUUUGAAUGUUUCGUUGAGCUGCUCGGGUGUCGCAUCCAUAGGCAAGUUCGCAACAAAUAUAGAACCACCCUCAGCUGUUACAAUACAAGCAACUAAUAGGGGUAGGCUUUACACAAGAAGCUUUAACAACGAAUGUUAAAACAAAACCUGAUUGGUUGUCGAUUUGGGAAACAGGCGCAGGAGCUUUGGACUCAAGAGCAGCGCUCAGCUUUUUAACAGGCUUAGGCUUUGCAGUAGAAGCUUUGACAUUGAAGGCAGCACCAACUUUAGCUGGGGACUGGACCUAAGUGCAACUCUUUUAGAUUAGAUAAGCUCAGAUUGAGCAAUAGAACACAGCGAAGGAGGACUCACAAUUACUGCAAAUGAUUUCUUGGGAGCAUCCACACCGUUGCAGAUAAUAUCGUUCACAACUUUUUCCUCUUCUGUUAUGGGAUGUCCAUUUGACAUAGUUAUGCUGAUAAUAGUGUCUGUUGUUGUUUGGACUGCUUGAGGAGUCACCUCCUCCUCAACCUCCUUCUUGUUAGCUUCUGGUUCAACAAAAAGCUCAUCAGAGACAUACCUAAACACAUCGUUGAGCACAAAGUAGCUUCCUUUCUGCGGCACGAGGAAGAAAGACUGAGAAAAUCUCAUCCUCUCCCCAUCAUUCACGGUGAGCAAGCCCGUGACCAAAGUAACAACUCCACUCAUGUAAGAAGCUUGGGAGUCAGCAGUCAAAAUCUGAAUCUUUGAGUUCUCGUAAUCAAAGGACAUGAUCUGCUCAUUAAUAGCCUACAAAACAGAAGCUCCCUAAUAUCAAAAAAGCUGCUUCCAAAAAUGAACAUCAUCUGUAACUGUAUCUUUACUUUUAAGGAGUUGACAGAGACCAUCUCUCCAUCAGAACCAGGCCUCCCUAAAACACUGUCCUCGAGAUAGAACCGAUGCACUUGUGAGGGUGAUUCGUACAAGUGGGUGUAGUAUUUCUUAACAAACGCAUUCCCAACAAUGUGUGGAUCCGCCAAUGGAGCAUUUGAUUCGAGUGCCAUCUCUCUCUACAUAAUCCAAUGGUUUCAGAAACAAAAGAAUAAAAAACAAAGAGGUUUUGGACGAAACUCAAAAACUAAAAAAAGAGGUGUCUUUGUGUGAUUCAAUACAAAAUCAAAAUCUAUACAUUGUCUCGCAUUCCAAUCUAUACGAAAUAAUCAAAUCUCAGGAAGAGUUGAUUGAGUACUUGCGAUGAAUCUUUAAACUGAAUUAUUGAAAUGAGUCCCAAAAUAAAUAAAUAAAUGUUUGUGAUGAAACAAGUGUUUGGUAUAUUAAGUAGAACAUGUAUUAGGAUGAACAGAUAAGAAAGAAAAAAGAGAAGCAAAAUAAUACCUUGGAAGAUGAGAAGAGAAGAAGAAAUCUUAGAUCAGAGUGAAGAGAAGAUAGACAGAGACGAGCGAUGAGUAUAAUAUUAUUUUAUGUGUGUGGCUUUUUCUUCUCUAGGGUUUUUACUUAGUUGGAAAAGAAUUGGGAUUCUCGUAGUUGCUGUAGUGGCUUUUCUACAGAUUUUCACAGUAAAAUUAUUGGCUAAGAAUUCAAAUGUUAUUUAUUCAUAACUAAGCAAAAUGAAUAGAAAAAUAUUAAUAAAAGCCCCCGGCGAGGAUCGAACUCGCGGCCUUUCGCUUACGAAGCGAACGCAAUACCACUAUGCUACGGAGGCUUAUGACAAGCUCACAGUUUUAAAAUUUAAUGUUCUUUAAUGAAAUUUUAAAAGUUACGUGUUUGUUUUAUCGCUGAUUUAAGUCUUGAAUUCAAAUACCAAUGUGCAUGGAAAGAACUUUUAAACUUGCAGUGAUCACUUCGAUAUGGAUUUUAUGUGCUAGUAAGAAUGUCUCUGCUAUAAAUUAUCGGCUCAAUACAGAUUUAGCUGAUGGGCUAGAGUUCGUAAAGCCCAUGAAUCUAACUCCCACAACGGCAUUCUAUCCAUUGAGCCAUCGCAUCAUUAUUUUUCUGUUUUUGAUCAAACCAAACUUCCAUUAAACUUAAACGAGUUUAAACUCCACUAAAAGAGUAUAGAACAAGACCAUCGAAAGCCAAACAGUCAAAUAAACUGAACGAUAGAGAGAUAACAUGACGAUACAAUUUACAAAAGACACCAUAAGAAAGUGCAUAACGACAAUUUCAUAGACUCUUUGAAAAACUGCAUGUAGUGUAACCAGGUCCGGCUCACAUAUAUUAUAGGCCUAGUGCUGAGUAGUUUUUCUUUGUUAAAGCUUUACCUUUAUUUUUUUCUUAAAUUAGGGACCUAAAUAUUUAUGAUUUUAAGAAAUUAAGGUCUAAUCACUGAAGAAAAAUCAAAGCAAAAUAAAAGUCCAUGUGCAAAAGCAAUCAGAGCACACGCUUUCACCCGGCUCUGAGUGUAAUCCAAAGAGUCACAAACUCCGCAACAAUGGGAAAGAAACGCAUUAACCGGGAGAAAAAUCUUUUUCAAUACCAGUAAUGCUUGUUCAUCCAGUUCACUCCAAACGUGAGGAAAUAUUGGAAAAAGAAACUGCUUCAGACGAGAAGUACAUGAGAGAUAAAUACUCGUCCUAACCGGAUUCACCAGGAAGAGCCAUCGCAUCACGGAUCAUCAUCCACUUCGACAACAUACAUAGUUGUUGUUUUUUUAAAUUGAUAAAGGAUAUUUACGGAUAUAGUUACAUAUCAAAGGAUAUUUAAUAUUUUCAUUAAGAACCCAUUUGGAUUAUUACGAAUUAACGGUACUACCUCUCUUUUAUUUUAAUUGUCGUUUUAGCGUUGUACAUACAGAUUAAGAAAAUAUUUAAUUUUGUAUAUUUACUAAAUAAAAACAUCAUUACUAAUACACUUAACCACAUUUCAACAUUCGAAAAAUAGAAUUGAAUAUAAAUCAAUAAAUUUUAUAUUAAAAUUAUAAAACAUAAUUUAUUUUGAAACGGAAAUUUUACUCUGUAACAUCAACUAAACUGAAACGGAUGGAGUAUUAUAGAAGUGACAUAGAAAAUCAUUUUCUAAAAAGAACAAAAACUAUAAUUUCACCAUACCCGCUAAAAUAUCAUCAAAACAAUUUAUUUUUAAACUGCUAAUUUCACAUUGUAACUGCUAUUUCACAUUGUAUUAUUAAUUUUUUUUAUAAUCUUAUAUUCAUGUCCUAGUGUUAUUUAUUACCCACUAUUAUAUAUGCAUCAUACUAUUAUUUAUUGCUUUAUUAGUCUCAAAUCCCCUAUAUAUUAAUUGAAGAACAUUUGAAAAGAUGUAACCUAAAUUUUGUAUUAAUUAAAAUAGGCUCCAAUGCAUAGGUGGCACUCAAUUAGGUAGUCAAUUACAUUCAAUUGAAAAAUAAAUAGGUCCACAUUCGAUUUUUAUAUGUUGUUAGAUACAUAAGUUGGUCAAACUAUAUGAUAUAAUGAUAUGAUAUGCUAUUUUCUUUCCUUAAAUCAAACCUACGGAAUUACCAUAAAUGACUAAUAUAUAUAUGAUAAUUAUUGAUUUUAAUAAUAAAGAUUUGAUAACAAUUUAUAUUUCCUCCAUCAUUUUUUGUUUAAUUUUAUAUUAUUAAAAUAAAUUAAACAAUCAAAUUAGCUAUAAAAGUAAAAUUUAGAUUUUUUCGUAUAUGUUAUAUUUUGAAUUUUUAAAAACGACAAUAAAUGGCUAAAACUAUUAAAAUUAUUAUGUUAAAAAUUAAUGAUCAAUGGUUUAACAUUUUUAUUAUAAGAAGAUACACAUGAUUUUAAAACCAUAUGAGUAAAAAAUAUCAUUUAAUAAUAAAAUAUAUAUAUAUAUAUAUUAAACACUAUAUACCAUAGGAUUACAUAAAUAUUUUAAUAUUAAAAGUUUCAAUGAAUUUUCAAGAACAAUUAUAAAUUAUAAAUUAUAAACUUAUUAAAGAUUUCAGAUUGAAAAUUUUGUUAUCGAUGAUUUAGAUAUAUUUUGUUAUAAAAUGAUAUGAAUGAUCAUAGAACCGUAUGAUUAUAAAUUCUUAUUUAAUAAAUAACUAUAUAAAAUAUACUAUUCUUAGAAAAAUAGGUUGGUACAUCUUAACUUAUAUUACACUUUUUAUUAAACUAAAUAUCGAAUUGAUAAAUAACGUACCAAAAAAUGUUUUGCACUUUCCUUAAAUAAAAGCUACGAAAUUACCUAAUAUGAUUAACAUAUAUGUGAAAAUUAAUUAUUAUGAAUAAUAAAUAUUUGAUAACAAUUUUUGUAUCUUAGUUCUUUUUAAAAAAAUUAUAUUAUUAAAAGAUAUUAAAAAUCAUAUUAAAUAUAUAAUAAAAAACAUUUAUAUUUUUUUAUAUGUUAUAUUUUGAAUUUUUCAAAACAUCUAUAAAUUAUUAGAAAUUUGAAGAUCACCACUCUUAAAAUUUUGUGAUCAAUAGAUUAUUUUUUUGUCAUAAUAAGUUACAAAUGAUCAUAAAAUUGUAUUAAUAUGAACUUUUAUUUAAUAUUAUAAGAAGAUACACAUGAUUUUAAAACCAUAUGAGUAAAAAAUAUCAUUUAAUAAUAAAACAUAUAUAUAUAUAUAUAUUAAACUAUAUACCAUAAGAUUACAUAAAUAUUUUAAUAUUAAAACUUUCAAUGAAUUUUCAAAAACAUUUAUAAAUUAUAAACUUAUUAAAGAUUUCACAUUGAAAAUUUUGUUAUCGAUGAUUUAAAUAUUCAGUUAUAAAACGAUAUAAAUGAUCAUAGAAGUGUAUGAUUAUAAAUUCUCAUUUAAUAAAUGACUAUAUAAAAUAUACUAUUCUUAAAAAAAUAAGUUGGUCCAUCUUAACUUACAUUAUAUUUUUUAUUAAACUAACUAUCGAAUAUUCGAAUUGAUAAAUAAUCUACCAAAUAUUGUUUUUGCACUUUUCUUAAUUAGAAGCUACGAAAUUACCUAAUAUGAUUAACGUAUAUAUGAAAAUUAAUUAUUAUGAAUAAUAAAUAUUUGAUAACAAUUUUGGUAUCUUAGUUCUUUUUUUAAUUUUAUAUUAUUAAAAGAUAUUAAGAAAAUCACAUUAAAUAUAUAAUAAAAACAUUUAUAUUUUUUCUUAUAUGUUAUAUUUUGAAUUUUUCAAAACGUCUAUAUAUUAUUAGAAAUUUGAAGAUUCUCAUUCUGAAAAUUUUGUUAUCAAUAGAUUAUUUUUUUUGUUAUAAUAAGUUACAAAUGAUCAUAAAAUAUAACGCAUAUGAAUUUUUAUUUAAUAAAUAUUCAAACUAAAUAAUAUAUAUAUAUAUAUAUAUAUAUACUAAUGAUUUAAAGCAACAAGAUUGGCUGAUCAAUUUAGUUGUCCAGUUGAAAUCUUUCAAAAGUGUGUGAAAGACUAAAGUCAAAGUAAAUAUGGAUUUAGAAUAGUAGUUAUAUUUUACUAACCAAAAUACCGAAAAAAUACUGAACCGAAUCGAAACCAACCCGAUAUCUGGAUUGAACACCCCUAAUCCAAAUGAAGCCAAACUAUUUUUUUCAUUCUCCAAAAUAUAAUAAAAAUAAUAACUUAAUUCCGCGCAAGACGCGGAUCUUAUUCUAGUCUAAUUAUAUAAAGAGUUAUUCUUGGGUUCACCCCCUAGGGUGAACCUUUAGGUUCACCAACCAAUAGAAAAUUAUCAUUUUAAAUCUAGUAUCUUUUAAUUAAGGAAACCAAAUAACUUACAAAUUAUAUUAUUUUUUCAAAAUAAAAUUUAAAAAUAAAUAAAAAUAAUAUAUAAAAAACGAAUUCAAAAAAAAAAUGUUGUCAACAAAACACUAAACCCUAAACUCUAAUACUAAACCCUAAACUCAAAUCCCAAACCCUAAAUCCUUGGGUAAACCCUAAAUCCUUGGAUAAACCCCUAAACCCUUGGAAAAAUACUAAACAUGUUGUCAAUAAAGCACU
Molecule: long non-coding RNA, 26599 nt
Filed under: Brassica napus (rape)
Lineage: Eukaryota; Viridiplantae; Streptophyta; Magnoliopsida; Brassicales; Brassicaceae
Description: long non-coding RNA (BNAP_LNC017379)
Source: RNAcentral